RNAcentral lists this ribosomal RNA (481 nucleotides) under uncultured bacterium. RNAcentral's name for it is "bacterial SSU rRNA". It matches the Rfam family "Bacterial small subunit ribosomal RNA", at positions 31 to 507 of the family's 1533-position model. The record is from RNAcentral.
GAACGCUGGCGGCAUGCCUUACACAUGCAAGUCGAACGGCAGCACGGACUUCGGUCUGGUGGCGAGUGGCGAACGGGUGAGUAAUGUAUCGGAACGUACCUUUCAGUGGGGGAUAACGUAGCGAAAGUUACGCUAAUACCGCAUAUUCUGUGAGCAGGAAAGCAGGGGAUCGCAAGACCUUGCGCUGAUUGAGCGGCCGAUAUCAGAUUAGCUAGUUGGUGAGGUAAAGGCUCACCAAGGCGACGAUCUGUAGCGGGUCUGAGAGGAUGAUCCGCCACACUGGAACUGAGACACGGUCCAGACUCCUACGGGAGGCAGCAGUGGGGAAUUUUGGACAAUGGGGGCAACCCUGAUCCAGCCAUGCCGCGUGAGUGAAGAAGGCCUUCGGGUUGUAAAGCUCUUUCGGCCGGGAAGAAAUCGCAUGGGCUAAUACCCUGUGCGGAUGACGGUACCGGCAUAAGAAGCACCGGCUAACUACGUG